AUGCAGCACGGGGCCGCGUGCCGGCAAGGGGUCCCCGAGCCCCACGAGCCCCCGGGCCGGCGGUACCUGGGUCCUGCUGCGGCGUGCGGGGCAGGAGGCGAGGGCCCGCUGCCCCCGGGCUGGGUGUGCAGAAAUGAACCCGGGCGAGAGAGGCGAUGGGAAAGCAGCGGGCGGCUCUCCGGGCCCCCCGCCCCGCGCACGAUUCUUAUUCAAAUGCGCUGCCCGCUGAAAGGGACGGCGGUCUCCAGGCUACGGGAAUGUCACUGCCGAUUCCUUCUGCCUGGAGGCCCUCGCCACCCGCCCGCCAGCGGGGAUGUGGGGGCCAAGCCGGGCCAGGCGUCGGCAGCCUGGGCACGCCCCGGCCCCGGUGGGGAACAAAAGGUGCCUCGUGGGCCGGCAAGCCAGCAGCGCCGCGUUCCCCGGGGCUCCCGGCUCGGCGCGGCGGGAAUGCGCCUGCCGUGGCUUGCAGCGGGGCGGCACGGCACAGCACGGCGGGACGGGUGCCCGACGCCCUGGGAACCGGCUGGUGUGGCUGUUUGUGGGGCCAGGCUGUGGCCCCGCUUCCUUCCCCAGCUGGGAAUGCCCCACGGCACAGACACCGGCAGGGCUCCGCAGUGGGGCUGUGCCGGGUUCCCGCAGGCCCAGGGGGUGCCCACCCUCCCCACGGACACGGCUCGUUGGGUGAAGUCCAGCAUGUGCCCACCCCGGGAAGCGCCCGGUGGGUGCGGGAGGACCCAGCCCCUCUCCACAGGGUCCCCACAGCCCCUUCCUUGUGUGCCACCCACCCACGCCCACUCCCAGGGUGAGGGGUUCCACGCCCCGGGGCUCCACGUCGGCUCCUACCUGUGCGCACGGGGCUGGCACGGCGGGCAGGUGGCCGUGCCCCGGGUGGGCUGCGGAGCGGGGCCCCCACGGCACCCGCUGGGCUCGGGGCUGGGCUCGGCUGCUUGUUCCUGGAGGAGGGCGGCCGGCGCCUGUCUCCUCCUCCGCGAGCCGUGCCAGGCGAGGGGAGGGACCUGCCUGCGCCGAGGUUUAGCCAAGGUGAGGCGGAGGCCAGGUGCCAGCCGGCGGUGGCCCACGCACAACGUGACGGUGCCCCGUGGGCUGGCCGGGAGCUGGCGCGACGUCCCCGGGGGCUGCCGUGCCCCGUGGCGCGGCACCGCCAACGCGUGGCACGGCCGGGACUCGCCGUGGGGGCCCGUCUGUGCCCAUGCAGGCGUGUCUCCGCCAGCAGCAUGCGGAGCCCCGGGGCGGCAGGGCAGCCAGCCACGUUCCCCCGCAGGACGGAUCCUGCUCCCCCGGCGCUGGCACCGUGGGCACCGCCAAGCCCUGAGCCAGCCCAGCCCCGCUCACCGAAUGCCAGAUCCCGAGAUCCUGGGGAGCGGCCGGGCUCGGCAAAGCCCUCGCUGUCACGCGGGGACGGCGCCUUUUAUUAGCCAAGGCUGGAGGAAGGAAGGGGACCCAGGCGCACCGAGGCUGUGCUCUGGCCGCACGCCGGUGAGCGAGGUGUCGGGAAGAUACAGCAGGAAGGUACACGGGAAGAGAAAGCAGCCCCCAGGGCCCAGCAGGGCUCGAUGGAUGCCCUGA
RNAcentral lists this long non-coding RNA (1587 nucleotides) under Anser brachyrhynchus (Pink-footed goose). RNAcentral's name for it is "lncRNA (ENSABRG00000017616.1)". The record is from RNAcentral. Lineage: Eukaryota; Metazoa; Chordata; Aves; Anseriformes; Anatidae.